GUCAAUAUUCACAGCUAUUGGAUGUUGUUAAGGAGCAAGCACUGAGACCCAUCCCUUCUCCUCUUGUGUUCUGUUGGCGAGAAUAGACAUAAUGGCAUCCAACUGCUGAUGUGUGUUGGCGAAUGUAGUUUGAACCUGAAGUGUAAUGGUCACUCCUACUUCCACCCUGAAUCUGGACUUGCCUAUGAAGAGAUCUGGAUAUGUAGGGCAGUUUUAGAAGCCACUGGGAAGGGCCACAGGCCUGCUCCACGCACCGUAACCAGCAGGACACUUGGACUUGACAGAGCAGUGAUUUAUAACUCCUCCCUUGCUUCUUUCUCCAUGGUGUAAUUUCAGAAGUGAGAUGAUUGCUCCUUGCUGUUUGCUAUGCACUCUGUGGAUUCCACGCUGAGAUCACUACAGUUGGAGAAGGAUGGCCUCUAUCAAAGCAAGUCAGAGAAACUCCGAGGAGAGAAGCCAAGGUGUCAUUUCCUGGGACCAAAUGUUUUAUUGAUGGACAAAGAAUUGCACAUAUUUAACAUGGAAAAUUUGAUGAAUUUGGUCAUCAGCAAACAUCCUUGAUACCAUCACCACAAUCAGAUAAUAGAUCCAACACCUCCAAGAGUUUUCUGGUUUUCCUUAAGUUUUUUUUUUUGUGUAUAUGUGGUAAGAACACUUAACAUCAUUCUUAUUAUUAAACAGAAGGUGAGUUAUGGACCAACAGAUGUUACCAAACCAAGCAAGGAAUCGAAAUAGAAAUGUUUACUUUUGCUGCAUGAUAGUAGAAUAAUGCACUUAUUUUUGUUCAUUCGCUCAUUCAUUUGCUGAGAUAUUUACUGUGUUCCACUUGUGUUGUUUUUAGCACUUAAGAUGCAGUCGUGGAAAAGAGACCAGUUUCUUAUCAAUGAGGUUUACAUUUUAAUGGGGAAGUAGAAGAAAUGCUUUUGUUUUGAAAACCUUCAGCUGCAAUGACUUUUGAAUUAAUUUCUUCAGUCAUUUAAUUAUUCAUUAAGUUACUUUUGAAGCAAUUAUUCAAAAAUCAUGUUCAACAUAGUAUUUACCAUAAUAAAAGUGAUGUUAUUUGGAGAAAUUUUUAGAAAACAAAAUAAAGUUUAAAACCACCUAUAAUUACAUAAUAUGGAAGACUAUGGCAAUGAGUAAUUUGUGUCUAUGUCCUCCAUUUUUCUCUAUAUUUAGAUUUAUGGACCAAUGUAAUUUUCUGAAAACAAAGGAAUUGAUUUUAUAAAUUACUUUCCCUCAUUCUCUUAAAUAUUCUCUAAGAAUA
RNAcentral lists this long non-coding RNA (1264 nucleotides) under Equus caballus (horse). RNAcentral's name for it is "lncRNA (ENSECAG00000057355.1)". Lineage: Eukaryota; Metazoa; Chordata; Mammalia; Perissodactyla; Equidae. The record is from RNAcentral.